GGACGAACGCUGGCGGCGUGCUUAACACAUGCAAGUCGAACGUAAAGGCCCUGCUUUUGUGGGGUGCUCGAGUGGCGAACGGGUUAGUAACACGUGAGUAACCUGCCCUUGACUUUGGGAUAACUUCAGGAAACUGGGGCUAAUACCGGAUAGGAGCUCCUGCUGCUUGGUGGGGGUUGGAAAGUUUCGGCGGUUGGGGAUGGACUCGCGGCUUAUCAGCUUGUUGGUGGGGUAGUGGCUUACCAAGGCUUUGACGGGUAGCCGGCCUGAGAGGGUGACCGGCCACAUUGGGACUGAGAUACGGCCCAGACUCCUACGGGAGGCAGCAGUGGGGAAUAUUGCACAAUGGGCGGAAGCCUGAUGCAGCAACGCCGCGUGCGGGAUGACGGCCUUCGGGUUGUAAACCGCUUUCGCCUGUGACGAAGCGUGAGUGACGGUAAUGGGUAAAGAAGCACCGGCUAACUACGUG
This 469-nucleotide ribosomal RNA is filed under the name uncultured bacterium. RNAcentral describes it as "partial 16S ribosomal RNA". It matches the Rfam family "Bacterial small subunit ribosomal RNA", at positions 27 to 507 of the family's 1533-position model. The record is from RNAcentral.